AUUGAACGCUGGCGGCAGGCCUAACACAUGCAAGUCGAACGGUAACAGGAAACAGCUUGCUGUUUCGCUGACGAGUGGCGGACGGGUGAGUUAUGUCUGGGAAACUGCCUGAUGGAGGGGGAUAACUACUGGAAACGGUAGCUAAUACCGCAUAACGUCGCAAGACCAAAGAGGGGGACCUUCGGGCCUCUUGCCAUCGGAUGUGCCCAGAUGGGAUUAGCUAGUAGGUGGGGUAACGGCUCACCUAGGCGACGAUCCCUAGCUGGUCUGAGAGGAUGACCAGCCACACUGGAACUGAGACACGGUCCAGACUCCUACGGGAGGCAGCAGUGGGGAAUAUUGCACAAUGGGCGCAAGCCUGAUGCAGCCAUGCCGCGUGUAUGAAGAAGGCCUUCGGGUUGUAAAGUACUUUCAGCGGGGAGGAAGGGAGUAAAGUUAAUACCUUUGCUCAUUGACGUUACCCGCAGAAGAAGCACCGGCUAACUCCGUG
This 490-nucleotide ribosomal RNA is filed under the name uncultured bacterium. Its description in RNAcentral is "partial 16S ribosomal RNA". It matches the Rfam family "Bacterial small subunit ribosomal RNA", at positions 30 to 507 of the family's 1533-position model. The record is from RNAcentral.